AUUGAACGCUGGCGGCAGGCCUAACACAUGCAAGUCGAGCGGAUGAAGGGAGCUUGCUCCUGGAUUCAGCGGCGGACGGGUGAGUAAUGCCUAGGAAUCUGCCUGGUAGUGGGGGAUAACGUCCGGAAACGGGCGCUAAUACCGCAUACGUCCUGAGGGAGAAAGUGGGGGAGCUUCGGACCUCACGCUAUCAGAUGAGCGUAGGUCGGAUUAGCUAGUUGGUGGGGUAAAGGCCUACCAAGGCGACGAUCCGUAACUGGUCUGAGAGGAUGAUCAGUCACACUGGAACUGAGACACGGUCCAGACUCCUACGGGAGGCAGCAGUGGGGAAUAUUGGACAAUGGGCGAAAGCCUGAUCCAGCCAUGCCGCGUGUGUGAAGAAGGUCUUCGGAUUGUAAAGCACUUUAAGUUGGGAGGAAGGGCAGUAAGUUAAUACCUUGCUGUUUUGACGGUACCAACAGAAUAAGCACCGGCUAACUUCGUG
Molecule: ribosomal RNA, 484 nt
Filed under: uncultured bacterium
Lineage: Bacteria
Description: partial 16S ribosomal RNA
Rfam family: Bacterial small subunit ribosomal RNA
Source: RNAcentral